GUUUACGGCCAUACCACCCUGCACACACCCAAUCUCGUCAGAUCUCAGAUGCUAAGCAGAGUCAGGCCUGGUUAGUACUUGGAUGGGAAAGUACCAUUUAUGAAUUUAAAAAACAAUCU
This 119-nucleotide ribosomal RNA is filed under the name Carlito syrichta (Philippine tarsier). Lineage: Eukaryota; Metazoa; Chordata; Mammalia; Primates; Tarsiidae. The record is from RNAcentral.